UCUUAUUCAUUACCCUUACCUUAUAAGUCCUUCGAAAAUUUUGAUUAAAACUACUUAGCAAAAAAUACAGAAUAAUAUACACUCAUUAAGUAAAUAUUUUGAUGAUAUUAUUGUUUAAACAACCUUAUUUAACUGGCUAAUAACAAAUAUUAGGAACAUGGCAACCUUAUUUAAGUGAAUUCAAUUAUUUAGCUAGCCGUUAAAAUAAAAAUGGACAUAAACAAAUCUUGUUACAUUACAAUUGAAGAAGAUAUCGAAAUAAAGAAUAAAAAAAAAAUGUACUCCCAGCCAUGAAUUUUAAUAAACGUUUAAUAAACUGAUUUUUGCACACUAGGGCUUCUAUUCGUUUCAGCCAUGAAUACGAAAGAUGCGUCAGUCCUCCUUCGGUGGACUGAAUUUAUGUGUUGUUUGUUUCAAUAACCAAUACAUGGGCGUGCGCAGAGUUUUCAUAACUGAACAAAGGUUAAUGCGACAAAGUUGUCAAAUUGUUUUGAAAGAAUUCCUUGGAUUGGGAAUCAAUUGUUUGUCCCCCACCGAAGGAGGACUGAAUUUAUGUGUUGUUUGUUUCAAUAACCAAUACAUGGGCGUGCGCAGAGUUUUCAUAACUGAACAAAGGUUAAUGCGACAAAGUUGUCAAAUUGUUUUGAAAGAAUUCCUUGGAUUGGGAAUCAAUUGUUUGUCCCCCACCGGUUAGGUUAACCUAACCUAACCUAACCGAAUUUGGUGUCACCUUGUACGUAUGAUUCGGAUCUGAAAUCGAUUAAUUUAUGAUUGUUGAGGACAAAGGUAGAUUUAUAUGGAUUGAAAAGUCCAUAUACGACAAUAAUUAAAACACCCUUAAAUGUAUGUGCAACUGCUACGGGCCUGGAAGUUUGUCUUACAGACGUACGAAAUACAUUUUCAGUUGUGACUUACCGGCAUCUGUUGAUAUUUACUAUCUUCAAAUUGGAUAAUAUAUAGUAUUAUUGUUAUUAAUGAUAAUACUACAAUUGAAAGUAACAUUAAAUUCCGUAUUUCUGUAUAUUAAUUUAUUCAAUUUAUUUGAAUCUUGAGUAUAGUUGCUUAUUAUUUUGUAUUAUUCAAAUAAGUUUUAUCUGGGAUAGAACAUAUUAAAAAUAAACAUAUACUGCAAAUUAU
Molecule: long non-coding RNA, 1137 nt
Organism: Aphis gossypii (cotton aphid)
Lineage: Eukaryota; Metazoa; Arthropoda; Insecta; Hemiptera; Aphididae
Exons: 4
Source: RefSeq, a predicted model, not a curated record